UGUACAUAAUAAGGGGUGACAACAUAAGCGUUGUUGGGGAACUGGAUGAAGAGCUUGAUUCACAUAUUGACUUAUCAAACCUAAGAGCUCAUCCUCUCAAGCCAGUCAUCCAUUGAUCACUAUGAAUGAAUAUGUGGGUUUUUGUUGUAGUGCAGAUUAUGGGCUAAAUGCAAAAUGUUACAUUGGUUUAAGUCUCAAUGGUUGUAGACCGAGACCUAAUUUAAUCGAAAUUCUGCUGGUCUUAUUUUCUCUUUUAACUUUGUUGGCAUCAUUGUGCUUUGUAUACUUUUUAAAUAUUGGUGUUAGUUGUCUUUCCAAU
This 319-nucleotide unclassified non-coding RNA is filed under the name Hevea brasiliensis (rubber tree). The record is from RNAcentral. Lineage: Eukaryota; Viridiplantae; Streptophyta; Magnoliopsida; Malpighiales; Euphorbiaceae.